AGGACGAACGCUGGCGGCGUGCUUAACACAUGCAAGUCGAGCGGGGCCCCUCCUUCGGGAGGGUGUCCUAGCGGCGAACGGGUGAGUAACACGUGGGCAACCUGCCCUCAGCUCUGGGAUAACCCCCGGGAAACCGGGGCUAAUACCGGAUACGACCUCCACGGGCAUCUGCGGAGGUGGAAAGGUUUUCCGGCUGAGGAUGGGCCCGCGGCCUAUCAGCUAGUUGGUGGGGUGAUGGCCCACCAAGGCGACGACGGGUA
RNAcentral lists this ribosomal RNA (260 nucleotides) under uncultured bacterium. RNAcentral's name for it is "partial small subunit ribosomal RNA". It matches the Rfam family "Bacterial small subunit ribosomal RNA", at positions 26 to 285 of the family's 1533-position model. The record is from RNAcentral.